RNAcentral lists this ribosomal RNA (434 nucleotides) under uncultured Lachnospiraceae bacterium. RNAcentral describes it as "partial 16S ribosomal RNA". It matches the Rfam family "Bacterial small subunit ribosomal RNA", at positions 341 to 792 of the family's 1533-position model. The record is from RNAcentral. Lineage: Bacteria; Bacillati; Bacillota; Clostridia; Lachnospirales; Lachnospiraceae.
ACGGGAGGCAGCAGUGGGGAAUAUUGGGCAAUGGGGGAAACCCUGAUCCAGCGACGCCGCGUGAGUGAAGAAGUAUUUCGGUAUGUAAAGCUCUAUCAGCAGGGAAGAUAAUGACGGUACCUGACUAAGAAGCCCCGGCUAACUACGUGCCAGCAGCCGCGGUAGUACGUAGGGGGCAAGCGUUAUCCGGAUUUACUGGGUGUAAAGGGAGCGUAGACGGUAUGGCAAGUCUGAUGUGAAAACCCAGGGCUCAACCCUGGGACUGCAUUGGAAACUGUCAAACUAGAGUGCAGGAGAGGUAAGUGGAAUUCCUAGUGUAGCGGUGAAAUGCGUAGAUAUUAGGAGGAACACCGGUGGCGAAGGCGGCUUACUGGACUGUAACUGACGUUGAGGCUCGAAAGCGUGGGGAGCAAACAGGAUUAGAUACCCUGGUA